AAUCGAACCCGGAGAUAGCUGGUUCUCCUCGAAAUAGCUUUAGGGCUAGCCUCGAUACAGAUUUGCGGAGGUAGAGCACUGAAUUUCCUAGGGGGCGUCAAAGCCUACCGAAGAAUAUCAAACUCCGAAUGCCGCGUAAUCGAUUAUCGGGAGUCAGACUGCACGAGAUAAGUUGGGCGGUCAAAAGGGAAAGAGCCCAGACCUUCAGUUAAGGUCCCCAAGUGCGCGUUAAGUGGAAAAGGAUGUGGGAUUUCGAAGACAACCAGGAUGUUGGCUCAGAAGCAGCCAUCCAUUCAAAGAGUGCGUAAUAGCUCACUGGUCGAGAGGUCCUGCGCCGAAAAUGUCCGGGGCUGAAACGCGCCACCGAAACUAAGGAACCGAAAGGUUGGUAGAGGAGCAUUGCAUGCGGGAAGAAGCAGUACCGUAAGGAGCUGUGGACUGCAUGGAAGAGAGAAUGCCGGAAUGAGUAGCGAGAAUAAGGUGAGAAUCCUUAUGGCCGAAUAUCCAAGGUUUCCAGAGUAAAGCUGAUCUGCUCUGGGUAAGUCGGGGCCUAAGGCGAGGACGAGAGUCGUAGCCGAUGGACAACAGGUGGAGAUUCCUGUACUGCGGUAUGACAGAACUGUGGGGACACGUAAGGAAAGCGGAAGCCGGGAAUGGAAAGCCCGGUGCAAGCGGGGUACCAGUCACUUUGGCAAAUCCGGGUGGCAAUGGGAAGCCGUGAUGCGGAGCGAAAUAAAGUAGCGAAGUCCGUGAGCCAUGCGUCAAGAAAAGCCGCUAUCGUUUAUACCGUACCCGUACCGUAAACCGACACAGGUGGAUGAGGAGAGAAUCCUAAGGCCGGCGGAAGAAGCAUUGUCAAGGAACUCGGCAAAAUGGCCCCGUAACUUAGGGAUAAGGGGUGCCUGGGAAACCAGGCCGCAGAGAAUAGGCUCAAGCAACUGUUUAGCAAAAACACAGGUCUAUGCGAAACCGAAAGGUGAGGUAUAUGGGCUGACGCCUGCCCGGUGCUGGAAGGUUAAGAGGAGAGGUUAGCGGUAACGCGAAGCUUUGAAUUUAAGCCCCAGUAAACGGCGGCCGUAACUAUAACGGUCCUAAGGUAGCGAAAUUCCUUGUCGGGUAAGUUCCGACCCGCACGAAAGGCGUAAUGAUUUGGGCACUGUCUCAACAAUGCACCCGGUGAAAUUGAAAUACCAGUGAAGAUGCUGGUUACCUGCGCCAGGACGGAAAGACCCCAUGGAGCUUUACUCCAGCUUGAUACUGGGAUUCGGUAUUGCAUGUACAGGAUAGGUGGGAGGCUAGGAAGCAGUAACGCCAGUUGCUGCGGAGCCGCUGUUGGGAUACCACCCUUGCAGUAUUGGAUUUCUAACCAGCAGCCGUGACCCGGCUGGGGGACAAUGUCAGGUGGGGAGUUUGACUGGGGCGGUCGCCUCCGAAAGGGUAUCGGAGGCGCUCAAAGGUUCCCUCAGAAUGGUUGGAAACCAUUCGAAGAGUGCAAAGGCAGAAGGGAGCUUGACUGCGACACCGACGGGUGGAGCAGGUACGAAAGUAGGACUUAGUGAUCCGGUGGUAUAAAGUGGGAUUGCCAUCGCUCAACGGAUAAAAGCUACCCUGGGGAUAACAGGCUUAUCACUCCCAAGAGUUCACAUCGACGGAGUGGUUUGGCACCUCGAUGUCGGCUCAUCGCAUCCUGGGGCUGAAGUAGGUCCCAAGGGUUGGGCUGUUCGCCCAUUAAAGCGGUACGCGAGCUGGGUUCAGAACGUCGUGAGACAGUUCGGUCCCUAUCCGGCGUGGGCGUAGGAUAUUUGAGAGGAGCUGUCCUUAGUACGAGAGGACCGGGAUGGACUGGCCGCUGGUGUAUCUGUUGUAUUACCAAAGGCAUAGCAGAGUAGCCAAGCCGGGAAGGGAUAAACGCUGAAGGCAUCUAAGCGUGAAGCCCCCCUCAAGAUGAGAUAUCCCAUAACGUCAAGUUAGUAAGACCCCUUGAAGACGACGAGGUAGAUAGGGCAGAGGUGGAAGUGUGGUAACACAUGGAGCUGACUGUUACUAAUAGGUCGAGGGCAUAACCA
RNAcentral lists this ribosomal RNA (2066 nucleotides) under human gut metagenome. RNAcentral describes it as "bacterial LSU rRNA". It matches the Rfam family "Bacterial large subunit ribosomal RNA", at positions 831 to 2925 of the family's 2925-position model. The record is from RNAcentral.